GUUAGGAAUAUUGGACAAUGGGCGAAAGCCUGAUCCAGCCAUGCCGCGUGAACGAUGAAGGCCUUCGGGUUGUAAAGUUCUUUAGCCGAUGAUUAUAAUGACUGUAGUCGGAAAAUAAGCCCCGGCUAACUUCGUGCCAGCAGCCGCGGUAAUACGAAGGGGGCGAGCGUUAUUCGGAAUCACUGGGCGUAAAGCGUGCGUAGGCGGUUGUGUAAGUUAGGAGUGAAAGCCCAGGGCUCAACCUUGGAAUUGCUCUUAAAACUGCAAGGCUCGAAUCUCGGAGAGGAUAGCGGAAUUUCCAGUGUAGCAGUGAAAUGCGUAGAUAUUGGAAGGAACACCAGUGGCGUAAGCGGCUAUCUGGACGAGUAUUGACGCUGAGGCACGAAAGCGUGGGGAUCAAACAGGGUUAGAAACCCGAGUAGUCC
RNAcentral lists this ribosomal RNA (425 nucleotides) under uncultured bacterium. RNAcentral's name for it is "partial 16S ribosomal RNA". It matches the Rfam family "Bacterial small subunit ribosomal RNA", at positions 354 to 796 of the family's 1533-position model. The record is from RNAcentral.